UGGCGAACUGGUGAGUAACACGUGGGAAACCUGCCCAGAAGCGGGGGAUAACACCUGGAAACAGAUGCUAAUACCGCAUAACAACUUGGACCGCAUGGUCCGAGUUUGAAAGAUGGCUUCGGCUAUCACUUUUGGAUGGUCCCGCGGCGUAUUAGCUAGAUGGUGGGGUAACGGCUCACCAUGGCAAUGAUACGUAGCCGACCUGAGAGGGUAAUCGGCCACAUUGGGACUGAGACACGGCCCAAACUCCUACGGGAGGCAGCAGUAGGGAAUCUUCCACAAUGGACGAAAGUCUGAUGGAGCAACGCCGCGUGAGUGAAGAAGGGUUUCGGCUCGUAAAACUCUGUUGUUAAAGAAGAACAUAUCUGAGAGUAACUGUUCAGGUAUUGACGGUAUUUAACCAGAAAGCCACGGCUAACUACGUGCCAGCAGCCGCGGUAAUACGUAGGUGGCAAGCGUUGUCCGGAUUUAUUGGGCGUAAAGCGAGCGCAGGCGGUUUUUUAAGUCUGAUGUGAAAGCCUUCGGCUCAACCGAAGAAGUGCAUCGGAAACUGGGAAACUUGAGUGCAGAAGAGGACAGUGGAACUCCAUGUGUAGCGGUGAAAUGCGUAGAUAUAUGGAA
This 621-nucleotide ribosomal RNA is filed under the name Lactiplantibacillus pentosus. RNAcentral's name for it is "bacterial SSU rRNA". It matches the Rfam family "Bacterial small subunit ribosomal RNA", at positions 96 to 703 of the family's 1533-position model. The record is from RNAcentral. Lineage: Bacteria; Bacillati; Bacillota; Bacilli; Lactobacillales; Lactobacillaceae.